This 440-nucleotide ribosomal RNA is filed under the name uncultured bacterium. Its description in RNAcentral is "partial 16S ribosomal RNA". It matches the Rfam family "Bacterial small subunit ribosomal RNA", at positions 338 to 795 of the family's 1533-position model. The record is from RNAcentral.
CCUACGGGCGGCAGCAGUGGGGAAUAUUGCACAAUGGGGGAAACCCUGAUGCAGCGACGCCGCGUGAGUGAAGAAGUAUUUCGGUAUGUAAAGCUCUAUCAGCAGGGAAGAAAAUGACGGUACCUGAUUACGAAGCCCCGGCUAACUACGUGCCAGCAGCCGCGGUAAUACGUAGGGGGCAAGCGUUAUCCGGAUUUACUGGGGGUAAAGGGAGCGUAGACGGUGAUGCAAGCCAGAAGUGAAAGCCCGGGGCGCAACACCGGGACUGCUUUUGAAACUGUGUGACUGGAGGGCAGGAGAGGUAAGCGGAAUUCCUGGUGGAGCGGUGAAAGGCGUAGAUAUCAGGAGGAACAACAGGGGCGAAGGCGGCUAACUGGACUGUAACUGACGUUGAGGCUCGAAAGCGUGGGGAGCAAACAGGAUUAGAUACCCGUGUAGUC